GCCCUCUUCAACCUUGCUUUGAAAAACAAUAGGAAUCUGUUGUGUAAAAUUUUAUAGUUGUUUAGGUGUUGAACCAUGAAGUAAAACUGAUUAUCAUAUGAUUGAAAAAUCAAAACAAUUCUUGAUGUUUGAAUACUGAGACCUUGAAUUUUAGCCAAAGUCUUACCCUUCAUGAUCUUUUAUUAUGAAAAUCAUCUUCAAUAAAAAAAUCAUCUACAAGAUUUGGGCAAUGGUAAUGCUCUAGCUCUUCAACCUUGCAUGACGUGUUUGAAAUUAAGCAGCAGCUUUUUUCUAGAACUUGCACUUGACUUCCUUUAUCCAUUCUCUAGGCUAUUAAAUACUUACAGUGUUUCUCUCUCUCUCUCUCUCUCUAAAUAGAAUAAGGUAGAAUUUGCAGUUUAUUUUCUUUAUUGCAUAAAGUAUUGUAGUAUAAUUUCUAAAUUGUGACUUCUCUCAAUAUAAUAUGACUGAUAUUUGCAGAUCCUUCAUUAAUGGGAACAUGUUUGAAACAUUUUAAUAAUGGAAACACAAAUGGAUCAAAUUAUGCUGAAGUUGGAAAUGAGUAAGAGGUUGUUGACACAUGGUGGUGAAUGAGAAUUCGGAUUGUGAUGAAGGCAGCAAGGAGUGACAGAAGGCAUAGAGGUUUUCUGGGCUACUGGACGUGAUACAAGCAGGACUGAUCAGACUUGGCUGGGCUGCUGGACGUGGUACAAGCAGGACUGAUAACACUCAGUGUGCAAUUUGAUUGAUCUGAGGAAGGCUUUAGAAGUUGCAGCUGCUAUGAUUGUUACUCUGGUGUUGCUUUGUUAAGAUUAGUUUGUACAUACUCACUCUUAGGGGUGUACAAGACCCGGCCCUACCCGCCAACCCGUCCCGGCCCAAGUCUUUCGGGAACCCGGCCCGAUCAUUAAAAGAUGCCGGGUUAGGGUUGAUCAUUGAGUUAUCUGGCUUCGGGUCGGGUCGGAUUCGGGUUGACAUACGGGCCACCCGGCCCGUCCCACAUAUAUAAAUUGGGAUUGUGAUGAAGGCAGCAAGGAGUGACCAGAAGGCAUAGAGGUUUGCUGGGCUACUGGACGUGAUACAAGCAGGACUGAUCAGACUUGGCUGGGCUGCUGGACGUGGUACAAGCAGGACUAAUAACACUCAGUGUGCAAUUUGAUUGAUCUGAGGAAGUCUUUAGAAGUUGCGGCUGCUAUGAUUGUUACUCUGGUGUUGCUUUGUUAAGAUUAGUUUGUACAUACUCACUCUGUUUGUACAAGAUUUAGUUUCAA
RNAcentral lists this long non-coding RNA (1271 nucleotides) under Lotus japonicus. RNAcentral's name for it is "long non-coding RNA (LJAP_LNC001661)". The record is from RNAcentral. Lineage: Eukaryota; Viridiplantae; Streptophyta; Magnoliopsida; Fabales; Fabaceae.